RNAcentral lists this long non-coding RNA (281 nucleotides) under Vitis vinifera (wine grape). RNAcentral describes it as "long non-coding RNA (VVIN_LNC004734)". The record is from RNAcentral. Lineage: Eukaryota; Viridiplantae; Streptophyta; Magnoliopsida; Vitales; Vitaceae.
AUAAAGGUCCUCAAUACCUGGUACCUUGGGUGAAAACUCGGGAGUUGCCGGUGGAUCCCUAUUAAGCCAUAUAGAAGGAGAUUUCCUAAACUAAGAAAGAAAAAUCAAAAUAAAAUUUCCUCCUCUUUAACUUAAAGAAUGAUGAAAUUUGAGUUUAAGAAAAAGUCUUAAGAAAAAUACUAUGAGGGGACACCAAAAUUAAGCACAUGAGGUUUAGGUGGAAAGAACCAAUCAAGGGAAAAUCAAGAGACACUAAGGGGAAUGCUAAACAUGGAUGCACA